AUGGAAAAUCUGUGUAGUUCUUAUUUUGUACAUAUGCUUCUGGUUUCAAGGAGAAUUCUUACUCCUUUUGGAAUUACCAUCUUUAAACAUUGUAGAUCCCAAUCUCUUGUGUAUUUGCAUCAAAUACUGUUUUUCGAAUGCUUAUCAUGUAUAAUACUAAACUCCCUGCCCCCUACUUCUUCUGUCACAUGUGUUGUUCCUUUGUCAUCAGUGGGCUCCAGAAAACACAACUGCAAGGUAGAGAAUAGUUGCCACUUAGUUAGCAUUUUAGUUAGCAGUGUAGACAUGUUAGUAAUACUAUAA
This 303-nucleotide ribosomal RNA is filed under the name Triticum aestivum (bread wheat). Its description in RNAcentral is "partial small subunit ribosomal RNA". The record is from RNAcentral. Lineage: Eukaryota; Viridiplantae; Streptophyta; Magnoliopsida; Poales; Poaceae.